CUUCCAUCAAGCCGGGGUUUCCAGUUCCCGCUAGGAAGCGUUGGGGACGUCCGGGCACUGCGCACCUCGCCAGGGCCGGUUACCAAGCGCCUCCUCCCCCGUCUGUGGGACAACGCUCUGACCUCCGUGUGGAUGGCCGUGGCUGUGAGGACUACCGAUGUGUCGAAGUGGAAACUGAUGUGGUGUCCAACACUAGUGGGUCCGCCAGGGUCAAGCUGG
RNAcentral lists this small RNA (219 nucleotides) under Pan troglodytes (chimpanzee). RNAcentral's name for it is "processed transcript". Lineage: Eukaryota; Metazoa; Chordata; Mammalia; Primates; Hominidae. The record is from RNAcentral.